Molecule: long non-coding RNA, 1818 nt
Filed under: Gadus morhua (Atlantic cod)
Lineage: Eukaryota; Metazoa; Chordata; Actinopteri; Gadiformes; Gadidae
Description: lncRNA (ENSGMOG00000035311.1)
Source: RNAcentral
CCCACCCCCAGAGGAGCCCCUCCCCCUCCAAUCAUUCUGAUGUUGGGGGUGAGUCCUGGCAGGAUAGCUCACCUUCAUCUCCAAGGAGUAAGUUAACCGAAUUGAACUCAAGAAUAAAGUGCCAUCUACUUUCUGUCCACUUUCACCACUUUCUGUCUAACACACGACCCCAACAUGUUCCCUGUCUCUGUCUCUCACAGACCAGUCCAUAAGGAGCCCCUCUCCCUCAUCCAGGAGCCCCUCUCCCUCAUCCAGUCAUUCUGGGAACCACAGAGGAGGCUCCCAUUCUGGUGGUCCUCCUAGAGCCUCAAACAGCCAGUCCAUAAGGACCCCCUCUCCCUCAUCCAGUCAUUCCGGGAACCACAGAGGAGGCUCUCGUCCUGGUGGUUCUUCUCGAGCCUCAAACGGCCAGUCCAUAAGGACCCCCUCUCUCUCAUCCAGUCAUUCCAGGAACCACAGAGGAGGCUCCCAUUCUGGUGGUUCUUCUCGAAGUUCAAACGGUAAGUUGACCUAAAUGAAUUGAAGGAAAGAAUGCCGUUUGAACCUUAUUGUCUAGCACAGUGGCACAGUGGUUCUCAAAGUGCGGUCCAGGGACCACUGGUUGCUUAAGAUGUUGUUCUUUGAAUACAAAGAGGCUCCCGUUCUGGUGGCUCUCCUCAAACCUCAAACAGUAAGUAAAUGAACUGAAGCAAAAGAUGCUGUCUGAACGUUACUGUCUAGAACACAACCCCAAUAUGUUCCCUGUCUCUCACUCUUGUCACAGGCCAGUCCAUGAGGAGCCCCUCUUCCUCACCCAGGAACCACAAAGGCUCCCGUCCUGGUGGUUCUCCUUUAGCUUCAAACAGCAUCAGGGCCCGCUCCCCCAGAGAGAGGAACAGUGUAUUCCCCAUGGAAAAUGACAAAUUCCAGAGAUGUGUGAUGAAAAAAUUGGUGGAGAUCAUGGAGGUGGUGAAAAGAAUUGAGGCGGACCACCAAAGGGGAGAGACAUACCUGAGGGACAUUAAAAACCAUGUCGACCAUGGACGAGGUCCUCAUGUUAGAAGACAAGCUCAAUCAGGAGGAGGAGAGACAGGCUCUGGUAAGAUAUCAUAUGCCACUUAUCACAACCAAUGCAAACUGAUGAGGGCAUUGAUGAGGUGUUGUUGUCCUAUGCCCUCAUCAGUAGGUUAUUGACUUAAUAAUUGGCUUUAGAUUCUAUAUUUACUGUCUAUUUACUUCUUUCACAGAUGGCACAGUUAAGCAAGGUCGGGGGGAAGGACAUAAAAGACUGUUGCAAAAAUUUUGAACAGGUAUGUUCAGAUACAGGGUACAGUACUUCUUGAAAAUGUAGUUUUAGCUGUUUAACCUUUAUGCUGACCUUAUUUGGCCUGUGGCCUCUGAUGCUUCAGUCUCUCUUGUGUGCCUUGGUCUAUUGCAUUGUCUCUUUCCUAUUUAAUGAAAUCCGGAUCGGUUUUAAGUAUCAAUACUCUUUUGAUCCCGUGAGGGAAAUUUAGUCUCUGCAUUUAUCCCAAUCUGUGAAACACACUCAGCACACAGUGAACACACAGUGAGGUGAAGCACACACUAAUCCCGGCGCAGUGAGCUGCCUGCUACAACAGUCUGGAAUGGCAGGAGACUUGUCAUGGUUGCUACAACAGCGGCGCUCGGGGAGCAGUGAGGGGUUAGGAGCCUUGCUCAAGGGCACUUCAGCCAGUCCUACUGGUCGGGGUUUGAACCGGCAACCCUCCAGUUACAAGUCUGAUGCGCUAACCAGUAGGCCAUGGCUGCCCCUAAUUUUAGUUUUAUUUGUAAUUGUUUUUUUUGUAAUUUAGUUUUAUU